UCCACAGUGUGAUGGCCUGACGGA
Molecule: non-coding RNA, 24 nt
Filed under: Arabidopsis thaliana (thale cress)
Lineage: Eukaryota; Viridiplantae; Streptophyta; Magnoliopsida; Brassicales; Brassicaceae
Source: RNAcentral